UAGUUUUGGAACUCAUUGGUGUAUUCUUCAAAAUACCUCAUGUUACAAAUACUCAAUUUAUGAAUAGUUGUUUUCGCUCUUUCUUUAGAUUGCUCUCUAUGCCCAGUGAUAUCUCAACAGAAUUGUGUAUAGAUAGGCACUGCAAAAUCUAAAGGAUUAUCAGUCUGAGCUAGCUUGUCUGCCCAAUCAAUCCAUUGAGAACUUCUUUUGAAUGACUGAUACCACUUAUGAACUAUUCCAAUUAAGGUUGACUCAUAAUAUGCAUGAGCAUUCUCGUAGGCAAACUUUGAUAACACUAAAGCCUGAGUUAGCUUUAAACUAGCUACCCAGUUAUCUAUUGUCUUUCUUUUAUCUCCUACCUGAUCUAAAUCCAGAUACUCCUCUUUCGGACACUGACUGUCCCCGUUUAGGUUCGGUAGGGAUAUACUUCUGAAAACUUCGUUCUCCACUCCUUCUUGUAGGAGCUUGCCCUUUUGGGAGCUUGAUAUUCUUUUCUCGAAUGAUCUUAAUUGGAUUAUUUGUAAUGUUCUGUAUUAUGGUAUGAACACUUUAUGAAGGGACCUGCCUUUCUUCGUCUGUUUGCAUAGAGGAUGAACCUGACGAUUCUUCUUUUGCAGCUUGAUAAGGAAGAAUCUUCCUCUUAUUCUUUCCAAGUUGAAUUUGAGAAAUCUCAUUCAUAAUUUUCUCUAAUUCUUCUAUGGAUUCACAAGUCUC
This 714-nucleotide long non-coding RNA is filed under the name Fragaria vesca (wild strawberry). RNAcentral's name for it is "long non-coding RNA (FVES_LNC005582)". Lineage: Eukaryota; Viridiplantae; Streptophyta; Magnoliopsida; Rosales; Rosaceae. The record is from RNAcentral.